ACAGGGACACAAAUAAUUAAUUCAUAUCAAUAUUCCUAUUAUAAAACUUAUUUUCCUCCUUCAUUUUAAAGAAUUAAAUUUGGUAAAGCAAUCACAAAGCAUUGGGCCACUGAGUAAGACAGAAAAUAUGAAAAAUAAAAGUCCAAGAGCGAUGAAAACUAUAUUCUCUUUUUGUUUGUUUUUAUUUAUUCUUUUAAUACAAUACAUCCUGAACACAGCCUCCUUUUCCUUUGCUUCUUUCAGUCCCCACUGCAACCUCUCCUCUCUCCAAGAUCUACCAUUUCUUCAUGUCUAUUCAGAAAAGAGCAAGUUUACUAAGGAUAUCAACUCAAUACAGCAUAACAAGAUGCAAUAAGACUAGAAUGAAACCCUGAAAGCAAGGCUGGAGGAAGCAAAACAGUAGGAAUAAAUGGGUCCUAAGAGCAACCAAAAGUGUCAUAAAUACACCCCACUCCCACUUUUAGAAGUCACACACACCCAAGAAAAAAACAACCCGAAGCUGGACAAACAUUACACAUAUGCAGAGAACCUACCACAGCCUCAUAUAGGCUCUAUGAUUGGUGCUUCAGUCUCCAUAGCAGAGUUAACAAUUAUGCACCAGAAAUCAAUGAUUAGAAGUACCAAAAUAUCAUAUUGUUUCCUCCUAAUGAGAUAUGACCUCACUCUGUUAGCUAGAAUAGGUUUAAACUUGUGAGCUCAAGUGACCCUCCUUCCUCAACUUCCCAAGUAGAUGAGAUAGUAACAGAAGUGCCCACCCUCCUCAACUAAAAUACCAUUCUUGAAGUGCUCGCAGUAGAAGGUUUGUCUUGAUGGAGUUGAUGCUAUCUGUUAGAGAACUAAUAUAAUAGAAGACCUAAUUAAAGAUAAAAAGUUACAUGAACAAAAGAUAAUUUAUAGUAAUUAAAACUGUUCAUUUUCAAGAAGACAGUUUGAUUUUUAUAUUUCUUGAUUUAAACUGCUCUGUGGAAAGUGACAGAAAAAGUUUCGGCAUGCACUCAAAGAAUAUUAAAAGCACAGGGGCUAUUUCAUUUCAUGUCUCAAAGUUUGUCAUACUGGUAACCUCAUCUUUCACAAGUACAGGUUAUGCUCAACCAGAAUCCUACUGAAUCUAGAGAAAAAUCAAUAUUUCUUUUAAAAACUCCAAAGUGGUUUACUCACAGACAAGGCAUGAUAUUAACAGAACUAAAUAGGCUUGAUCUUGGAAUCAUUACUAGUUAAAAUAUAAUUGUAGAAUUAUCAUCUAACACAUGAUGAAAAGGUAAGAUUGUUUGUUAUACAUGACACACAAUGUAUAUGGGUGUGCAGUCAAAUAUAAAUUGAUUUAAAUGAGUGUUGGUUACCAAGCUCUGAUCUAACUCCUUUUACCUUUGUGAUAUUCCAAUAUCCUAAGAAAAGUAAAACAAAAC
RNAcentral lists this long non-coding RNA (1406 nucleotides) under Mus musculus (house mouse). RNAcentral describes it as "long non-coding RNA chr16:40776513-40777919". The record is from RNAcentral. Lineage: Eukaryota; Metazoa; Chordata; Mammalia; Rodentia; Muridae.